This 139-nucleotide ribosomal RNA is filed under the name uncultured eukaryote. RNAcentral describes it as "partial 18S ribosomal RNA". It matches the Rfam family "Eukaryotic small subunit ribosomal RNA", at positions 1299 to 1458 of the family's 1831-position model. The record is from RNAcentral.
UGGUGGAGUGAUUUGUCUGGUUAAUUCCGUUAACGAACGAGACCUCGACCUGCUAAUUAGUUCGCCGAACCCUGGUUCGUCGUGUGACUUCUUAGAGGGACUAUCGGUGCGUAGCCGAUGGAGGUUCGAGGCAAUAACA